UGGGGAAUAUUGGACAAUGGGCGCAAGCCUGAUCCAGCCAUGCCGCGUGAGUGAUGAAGGUCUUAGGGUUGUAAAGCUCUUUCACCGGUGAAUAUAAUGACGGUAACCGGAGAAGAAGCCCCGGCUAACUCCGUGCCAGCAGCCGCGGUAAUACGAAGGGGGCUAGCGUUGUUCGGAUUUACUGGGCGUAAAGCGCACGUAGGCGGACUUUUAAGUCAGUGGUGAAAUCCCGGGGCUCAACCCCGGAACUGCCUUUGAUACUGGAAGUCUUGAGUAUGGUAGAGGUGAGUGGAAUUCCGGGUGUAGAGGUGAAAUUCGUAGAUAUUCGGAGGAACACCAGUGGCGAAGGCGGCUCACUGGACCAUUACUGACGCUGAGGUGCGAAAGCGUGGGGAGCAAACAGG
This 404-nucleotide ribosomal RNA is filed under the name Actinomycetes bacterium. RNAcentral's name for it is "Actinobacteria bacterium partial 16S ribosomal RNA". It matches the Rfam family "Bacterial small subunit ribosomal RNA", at positions 355 to 776 of the family's 1533-position model. The record is from RNAcentral. Lineage: Bacteria; Bacillati; Actinomycetota; Actinomycetes.